CUACGGAGGGUCCGAGCGUUAAUCGGAAUUACUGGGCGUAAAGCGCGCGUAGGUGGAUGUAUAAGUCAGAUGUGAAAGCCCUGGGCUCAACCUAGGAACUGCAUUUGAAACUGUACGUCUAGAGUAUGGUAGAGGUGAGUGGAAUUUCAGGUGUAGCGGUGAAAUGCGUAGAGAUCUGAAGGAACAUCAGUGGCGAAGGCGACUCACUGGGCCAUUACUGACACUGAGGUGCGAAAGCGUGGGUAGCAAACAGGAUUAGAUACCCUAGUAGUCC
This 274-nucleotide ribosomal RNA is filed under the name uncultured bacterium. RNAcentral describes it as "partial 16S ribosomal RNA". It matches the Rfam family "Bacterial small subunit ribosomal RNA", at positions 523 to 796 of the family's 1533-position model. The record is from RNAcentral.